AAGGAAGCUGGACCGACCCUUCGGGGAGCUUUGUACAGGUGCUGCAUGGCUGUCGUCAGCUCGUGUCGUGAGAUGUUCGGUUAAGUCCGCUAACGAGCGCAACCCUCGCUGUGUGUUACAAGUGUCACACGGGAACUGCCGGUCAUAAACCGGAGGAAGGUGGGGAUGACGUCAAGUCAGCAUGGCCUUUAUAUCCUGGGCUACACACACGCUACAAUGGGAAGGGACAAUAGGUUGCGAAGCCGCGAGGCGGAGCCAAUCCAGCAAAACUUCCCUCAGUUCAGAUUGCAGGCUGCAACUCGCCUGCAUGAAGUUGGAGUUGCUAGUAAACGCAGGUCAGCCAUACUGCGUUGAAUACGUCCCCGGGUCUU
Molecule: ribosomal RNA, 371 nt
Filed under: uncultured Anaerolineaceae bacterium
Lineage: Bacteria; Bacillati; Chloroflexota; Anaerolineae; Anaerolineales; Anaerolineaceae
Description: bacterial SSU rRNA
Rfam family: Bacterial small subunit ribosomal RNA
Source: RNAcentral